RNAcentral lists this ribosomal RNA (454 nucleotides) under uncultured Sphingobacteriales bacterium. RNAcentral describes it as "bacterial SSU rRNA". It matches the Rfam family "Bacterial small subunit ribosomal RNA", at positions 925 to 1382 of the family's 1533-position model. Lineage: Bacteria; Pseudomonadati; Bacteroidota; Sphingobacteriia; Sphingobacteriales. The record is from RNAcentral.
ACAAGCGGUGGAGCAUGUGGUUUAAUUCGAUGAUACGCGAGGAACCUUACCUGGGCUCAAAUGUAUGUUGACGUAUUCUGAAAGGGAUACUUCUUCGGACAAUAUACAAGGUGCUGCAUGGUUGUCGUCAGCUCGUGCCGUGAGGUGUCGGGUUAAGUCCCAUAACGAGCGCAACCCUACCUUUAGUUGCCAUCAGGUAAUGCUGGGGACUCUAAAGGAACUGCCUACGCAAGUAGUGAGGAAGGCGGGGAUGACGUCAAAUCAGCACGGCCCUUACGUCCAGGGCUACACACGUGCUACAAUGGCCGAUACAGAGGGCAGCUACCUGGUGACAGGAUGCAAAUCUCCAAAGUCGGUCUCAGUUCGGAUCGGAGUCUGCAACCCGACUCCGUGAAGUUGGAUUCGCUAGUAAUCGCGCAUCAGCCAUGGCGCGGUGAAUACGUUCCCGGGCCUU